Molecule: ribosomal RNA, 402 nt
Filed under: Fusobacteriota bacterium
Lineage: Bacteria; Fusobacteriati; Fusobacteriota
Description: Fusobacteria bacterium partial 16S ribosomal RNA
Rfam family: Bacterial small subunit ribosomal RNA
Source: RNAcentral
UGGGGAAUUUUGCACAAUGGGGGAAACCCUGAUGCAGCGACGCCGCGUGAUUUAGAAGGCCUUCGGGUUGUAAAAAUCUUUUCUAUGGGAAGAAAAUGACAGUACCAUAGGAAUAAGGACCGGCUAAUUACCUGCCAGCAGCCGCGGUAAUACGUAAGGUCCGAGCGUUGUCCGGAAUCAUUGGGCGUAAAGGGUACGUAGGCGGGUAAGCAAGUUAGAAGUGAAAUCCUAUAGCUCAACUAUAGUAAGCUUUUAAAACUGCUCAUCUUGAGGUAUGGAAGGGAAAGUGGAAUUCCUAGUGUAGCGGUGAAAUGCGCAGAUAUUAGGAGGAAUACCGGUGGCGAAGGCGACUUUCUGGCCAUAACCUGACGCUGAGGUACGAAAGCGUGGGUAGCAAACAGG